Molecule: ribosomal RNA, 412 nt
Filed under: Limnothrix sp. 'ACO2 43'
Lineage: Bacteria; Bacillati; Cyanobacteriota; Cyanophyceae; Pseudanabaenales; Pseudanabaenaceae
Description: bacterial SSU rRNA
Rfam family: Bacterial small subunit ribosomal RNA
Source: RNAcentral
CUUUUCUCAGGGAAGAAGAUCUGACGGUACCUGAGGAAUCAGCAUCGGCUAACUCCGUGCCAGCAGCCGCGGUAAGACGGAGGAUGCAAGCGUUAUCCGGAAUUAUUGGACGUAAAGCGUCCGCAGGCGGUCUCGUAAGUCUGUCUUUAAAGCGUGGAGCUUAACUCCAUAAAGGGGAUGGAAACUGCGAGACUAGAGGUAGGUAGGGGUAGAAGGAAUUCCCAGUGUAGCGGUGAAAUGCGUAGAUAUUGGGAAGAACACCAGCAGCGAAGGCGUUCUACUGGACCAAACCUGACGCUCAUGGACGAAAGCUAGGGGAGCGAAAGGGAUUAGAUACCCCUGUAGUCCUAGCCGUAAACGAUGGACACUAGGUGUUGCACGUAUCGACCCGAGCCGUGCCGUAGCUAACGCG